Molecule: long non-coding RNA, 1117 nt
Organism: Acanthaster planci (crown-of-thorns starfish)
Lineage: Eukaryota; Metazoa; Echinodermata; Asteroidea; Valvatida; Acanthasteridae
Source: RefSeq, a predicted model, not a curated record
CGGAGACGAGGCGCACCCUGGCCGAAAUUAUCGGGAUGAUUCAGGCCUCUAAUAUCUGAUGCAACAAGAAUAUUGAGGCACCAAGCCCACGGAUGUUGGGAUUUAAUUUCAUCUUGGGAUUUUUGUAACCGGCCAACAUAGAAACAGGGAAGCUAGACGUUGGUGUCUGUUCUUGACUUUGUGGAUCUCCUUACCGGAGGAUGCACGUCCUCCACCCUGAUGGAACCGUACGGUUUCUUCCUACACACGGAACGCACCGGGCGUCGCCUGCGACCUUACAGUUGUACAAUAUCAAAAUCAUCGUGGAUAGAGAAAUGAAUCUAUGAUUCAAUCAGAGAACAUAAUCUGUACAAAAAUAUCUUCACAAUCAAACAGUUAAUGGUAAAUUUGUCUACAUAAAGUUAGAAAAAACAUGUUAACAUAUUGUGCUUAUGGUAAAGAAAAUAGGGGAAAUAUUUCAAUGGCACAAAGAAGAUUAUCGAUUCUUUGCUUGGUGAAACAAGUGUCAGUCAAAAUCCGUCCUAAUUACUUUUAGAAUAGGAAGCAGUUCUGUUUCAGUUAACUCUGCUAUUUCAACCACACACUAUUGCCGAUGGUGUUCCAUAGGACUCUGUUUAGGGUCCCUUAUUGCCAUAUAUUUGAAUGAAAUUUCCUGUCGUCUUUAUGUUGAUGAAAUGAGUCUUUCACAUAACCAUCAAAUUGUAAAUACAACCACUGGCAAUCUGAAUUCAGAACUUGUACGGGGAAUGAAUGGCUCUUGUUGAAAAGAACGCUCAGUUAAAUUACUCAAAACAAAUUGCAUAUUUGUUAGCUCUCUUCAAAAUAAUUACACACUUAAACACGAAAUACUUUUUUAUCAGUUGGCGUAGUACUACAUUAAAACUAGGUAAAGGGUCCUGGGUGUUUAGCUGGAUCAGAGCCUCUCUUUGAGUAAAAGUACUGACGUCUCGUGUACCGGGGUUAUCUGAAACAAAAUGUUCCGAUGAAAACUAUACUUUAUUUAGGACACUUUGUCCAAUUUAACUUUAAAUUUUUAAUUGUAUCAGUUAGUAUGUGUUUUGUAUUUCAAUUAGUCUGGAUAGCCUCUUUGACAGAAUUUAUUUCUUUUUGGCGAUAC